This 497-nucleotide ribosomal RNA is filed under the name uncultured bacterium. RNAcentral's name for it is "partial 16S ribosomal RNA". It matches the Rfam family "Bacterial small subunit ribosomal RNA", at positions 28 to 507 of the family's 1533-position model. The record is from RNAcentral.
GAUGAACGCUGGCGGCGUGCCUAAUACAUGCAAGUCGAGCGAACAGACGAGGAGCUUGCUCCUCUGACGUUAGCGGCGGACGGGUGAGUAACACGUGGAUAACCUACCUAUAAGACUGGGAUAACUUCGGGAAACCGGAGCUAAUACCGGAUAAUAUAUUGAACCGCAUGGUGCAAUAGUGAAAGACGGUUUUGCUGUCACUUAUAGAUGGAUCCGCGCCGCAUUAGCUAGUUGGUAAGGUAACGGCUUACCAAGGCAACGAUGCGUAGCCGACCUGAGAGGGGGAUCGGCCACACUGGAACUGAGACACGGUCCAGACUCCUACGGGAGGCAGCAGUAGGGAAUCUUCCGCAAUGGGCGAAAGCCUGACGGAGCAACGCCGCGUGAGUGAUGAAGGUCUUCGGAUCGUAAAACUCUGUUAUUAGGGAAGAACAAAUGUGUAAGUAACUAUGCACGUCUUGACGGUACCUAAUCAGAAAGCCACGGCUAACUACGUG